GACGUAGGGUGCAAGCGUUGUCCGGAUUUACUGGGCGUAAAGGGCGCGUAGGCGGCCUCCGCAAGUCAGUUGUGAAAUCUCCGAGCUUAACUCGGAAAGGUCAACUGAUACUGCGGGGCUAGAGUGCGGAAGGGGCAACUGGAAUUCUUGGUGUAGCGGUGAAAUGCGUAGAUAUCAAGAGGAACACCUGCGGCGAAGGCGGGUUGCUGGGCCGACACUGACGCUGAGGCGCGAAAGCUAGGGAAGCGAACGGG
This 254-nucleotide ribosomal RNA is filed under the name uncultured bacterium. RNAcentral's name for it is "partial 16S ribosomal RNA". It matches the Rfam family "Bacterial small subunit ribosomal RNA", at positions 524 to 776 of the family's 1533-position model. The record is from RNAcentral.